GAAGAAGAAAGAAAAAGAAAUUAAAAAGGAACCUGCAUCGCCAAUGAUAUUGAGUCCCUAACAACCUCAAAAGAGGAAAAAGUGAACAACAACAAAAAGAAUCCAGGAGGAGGUUGAAUGACGUGGGAAAAAGAGCCUAAGAAAGAAGAUGACAUCUAUCUAAGAGAACUGUGAUUGAUAAAUUGAAAGGCUGAAACCAAAUCAGGAAAAGCUCUUUCCCCUGCCUGGAAUAAUUACCCAGUCCUCCCCUCUUGACCAAAUCUUCGAAGUCUCUCCUCCUUGCAGAAACCUGAUACACUGAUUCUUCUAGUGUAUUAAUUAACUAUUGAUAUACUGAUCUUGUGUAACAAAUUACCAUAAAACUUAGUGGUUUAAAACAAC
Long non-coding RNA from Leopardus geoffroyi (Geoffroy's cat), 381 nucleotides. RefSeq lists it as uncharacterized. The transcript has 2 exons. The record is from RefSeq and is a predicted model, not a curated record. NCBI's taxonomy places the organism in Eukaryota, Metazoa, Chordata, Mammalia, Carnivora, Felidae.